RNAcentral lists this unclassified non-coding RNA (4648 nucleotides) under Leishmania donovani. RNAcentral describes it as "gene:LdHU3.12.1490(CDS-product:n-ethylmaleimide_r eductase-like_protein)". The record is from RNAcentral. Lineage: Eukaryota; Euglenozoa; Kinetoplastea; Trypanosomatida; Trypanosomatidae.
CCCAUCGCGGCUGGACUGUCUGAGUUCCGUGGCCGCACCAUCGCUGCCACCACCGCCCCCCUCCCCCUCCUUUCGCUUCGUUUGUGUGCUGUGUGUGUUUUGUGUGUCUUGUCUCACCGCCAUUGACAUCAUCGACGUCUGCGCUUCUAAAGACCGAAAAGAGUGCCAUCUCCGACACGCGCACGUCGACCCGCUCGCAUCCCUUUUCCUGUUGGCGCACCUUCUCCGCUUGCAGCUCAGAUACGGUUGAGCAGAGCUCGACUCACGUACACGCCUGCGGAAUUUGUGUGUCCUUCCUCACGCUCUACCGUUGCACCCAUGUCAUCCGCAGGAAACCACCCCGUGUACACGCACCUUUUCCGGCCGUGCCGCGUGGGCCGGCCGACCAUGAAGAACCGCAUGAUCAUGUCGCCGCUGACGCGGUGCCGCGCCGAUGACAACCACGUGCCGACUGCCAUCAUGACGGAAUACUACGGCUCUCGCGCCUCGAUGGGGAUGAUUAUCACGGAGGCUAUCAUGGUUCAGUGCAACUACUCCGGCUUCGCGUAUGAGCCCGGCCUGUACUCGGCGGAGCAGGUGGAAGCGUGGCGCGCCAUCACGGAGGCUGUCCACGCACGUGGUGGGCUGAUCGCGGCUCAGAUUUACCACGCAGGCCGCGCCACUACACCGGCCAACCUCACAUCGGACGGCUUGGUGCCGAUAGGUCCGUCCGCGAUGGGUAUUCCACCGGAGGCUCAGCAGUGCAUUGCGCAGUGGAGCCGCGACGGCAAGGCACAGGCCUACGCGCAGCGCAUCCAUGCCAUGACGUCGGCCGAGAUCGGCGCCGCGGUGAAGUUCUUCACCCGCGCAGCUCGCAACGCAAUGGCUGCCGGCUUUGACGCGGUGGAAAUCCACGCCGGCGGUGGCUACCUGCUGGACUCUUUCCUGCGGGAUGCUGCAAACCUGCGCACGGACGAGUACGGUGGCAGCAUGGAGAACCGGUCUCGCUUUCUCCUGGAGGUGGUCGACGCCGUUGCAGCGGCGAUCCAGCCGGAUCGCGUUGGCGUGCGUCUGACGCCGCUGGACACAUUCAAUGGCGCAAAGGACAGCCACCCCGAGGCGCUCACCACGUACGUGUGCCAGCAGCUCGACGCUCGCGGCAUUGCAUUUGUCGACAUCGUCCGUGGGGACUCGAGGGCCAAUGUGCCGGGGAACGCAGAGGUGUGGGUGCGCCGCUCCUUCAGCGGCGCUGUUCUGGCGGGUCAGGGGUACACAUCGACGGACAUGGCGGAGCAGGCGAUCGCGGACGGCACCGUCGACGCCGUGCUGUUUGGCGAGCAAGCUGUCUCGAAUCCGGACCUCGUCUGGCGAGUGCUCACAAAUGCCCCGUUCAACCGCGCCGAUAAGUCGACCUUCUUUACCCGGGGCAGCAAGGGGUACAUUGACUAUCCCGUCUGCGAGCCGCACAGCUUCUCCGAUCCGCGUGUUGUGGCCGGCAUGAAGACCCGCUCUGGAGGGGACAGCAGCCGUCGCUUGUCGUGCCAGUGCUCCACCUCCAUGACGAUGCCGGCAAAGGAGCGUCCAUACUUUGCGGUAUCACAGCCGCUGCUGCUCGGCGCGACGACAAUGAAGAACCGUCUUGUCAUGGGCCCCAUGCCUCGCCAGCGGUGCGAUGCGCAGCAGUGCCCGACCGCCAUGAUGGAAGCCUACUAUGCACGCCGCUCCAGUUACGGUCUGAUUAUCAGCGAGCCGUGCGAGGUACAACCCAGUUACAACACGUACGUUCGGGGUGCGGCCAUCUCGACGAAGGCACAGGUGCAGGCCUGGCGCAAGAUCACGGAUGCCGUGCAUCAGGAGGGGGGCCUCAUGUACUGCCAGCUGCACCACGGAGGUCGGGCAACGCUGCCGUGCAACAUUACCAACGGCAAAGAGAAGCGGGCUGUGGGCCCCACGACGCAGGGCAUCUCGGCCGACUACCGCUGCCCGGCCGCCUUCGCCGCGGACGGAAAAGAUCAGCCAUAUCCCGCCGAGGUGGUGAGGCUGAGUGCGGAGAAGCUCAAGUGGAUUGUGAAGCUGUACGUAGCGGCGGCAAAGAACGCGAUGGUGGCCGGCUUUGACGGCGUCGAGAUCCACGCCGGUGGAGGCUACCUGAUCGAUCAGUUCCUGCGCAAGUGCAGCAACACCCGCGACGACGACUACGGCGGCUCGCCUGCGGGCCGCUGUCGAUUGCUGGAUGAAAUUGUGGACGCAGUGGCCGCGGCCAUUGGCCGGCGGCGGGUCGGCGUACGCGUAUCCCCAACGGAUCUCUCCAAGGGGAUGAAGGACACCGAUCAAGACGUGGUGGCAGAAACUGUUGCGACGCACAUGGCGGAGCGCAAGAUCGCUUACAUUACCGUGGCGAGCGGCAGUGACGGUUACUACCACGGGCCAGUGCCUGCCUGCAUCCUGAAGAAGGUCCUGCAAUGCUUCGGCGGUGUUGUCAUGUGCGACGACAACACCAGCCUGGCCGAGGCAGAGAAGCGUGUGGUGGCGGAUGCCGUGCAGGGUGUGUGCAUCACACUGGGUGCAAUCGCUAACCCGGACAUCAUGAACCGAGCCAUCCACGGCGUUGCGCCCGCCGAGCCGGACAUGCACACUCUCUUCACGCAUAACAGCGACGGCUACGACUCGUACCCGACGUAUGCGGAGAUACGGAAGGAGGCGCGGGCGGAGCAAGCGCGCCAGUCAGCGGUGAACAGAUCCCACUACUCCCCUCCGAUGUUGAACCGCAGCACCCCUGUUGCGAUGAACAAUAAUAAGAGCCUCAAAGCCCCUUUUGUGCACUGAUCACAGCGCGGCCACGUCGACCAGCCGAGGAACCCAGCCAACCCCCUCUGCUCAAGGCACCGAGGGCAGGCGCGCCUGCACUCCUGGCCCGUACGGCCACCGCGGAGUCCGACACGUCUCUCAGGUUUAGGUGUACGGUGACAGUUGCGCGAGUCGACGCGAGUGCGUGGCGCUUCGGCAGUGCCGAGGUAAACCGUCGACGCGGCACGACGCAGUGCAGACGAAGCCGAAGACAAAAUAAACGAAGUCUUGCGAUGCUGCGCUCUCCGUCUACUGUGUUGAAGCACUCGCCUACCUUCACACCCUCCUUGACCCACACAUACGUGGACAUGCACUAUGUACGCGGACGUUCACCAAACGGAUGCCCUUCUCCCCCUGUAUAGCUCUCUUCCUCCCUGCCUAUCGCUCGAUCUUCCGCUGCUGCCUUUUCUCUUUCUGCAAUGUAUGUGCAUGUUGUUGUAACAAUACUGGUCGGCGUGUAUAUUGGCAGCUGUGCUGCGUGCGUCUCCUCCUGUCGCCUCGCGGCAUCCUUUUUUUUUUUUAGUUUAGCUUGUCACGUCCAUCAUUCUAGCCUCGCUUCGCUUGUUGUAUUUCUGAAUCUCCGCGUUUCUGUUCGGCUGCAAGGGGUUUCGCCGCUCCUUCUCUCUAUUUCUGUCUCUCUCUUUUUCUGUCUGCCCACCCGCACCUCUUUAACAUGUAAACGUGUACACACGCAUAUACGCACACGUCAUCUCGCUUCGUUUUUUUUUUCGUUUUUUCCUGAACUUUUUUCGGUGUGUGCUCGGCUGCCCCUUCUCCCCCUCUCAUGCGGGCGCUCCGUGUCGGUUCCGUUUGCACGCCUUGCUCCCCUCGUGCAGGUGUCACGAGAGAGCGAGAGGCGAGCGUGGUUCGGUGUAUGGGUCGACAUGCGCGACGUGUGGUGUGUUUUGAGUGAAGAACGCGCGCGCGUGCGUGCGUGCACCGGCGUGCUUGUUUGCUUUCUUUCUCUCUCGCCGAUUGCUGUUCUUUGUCUAUGCAGCGUCGGCGCCAUGUAGCGCAACACACCGCGUACACAGCGCGGACGGAGGUCGAUGCGCCGUUGGCGCGCACGCGCAUACAUGCAUAACGGCUCCUUUUCCCUCACACCGCGUCUUCUCUGCUCCGCACUGACACCGCCCUCCGCGACUGAUGCGACUGCCUCCUCUUCUUUGGUUUUCUCCUGAGAAUCAACAAAAUCACAGAAGCGAGCGCAGCGAAAAGAAGGCUGUCACCGGGGGUGGUGUGUGUGUGUGGGUGUGGGUGGGAGUAGGGGGCGGAUCUGCAGCAGCUACUGCCUAUGCGAGUGGGUAUCGGACUCCUCGUGGGACCGUAGACGUGCUUGCAUACGCCGCCACACAUUUGAGCACUUCAUCGACAUUUCGUGCCCUUCUGAGCAUUUUUCUCUUGUUUCCGUUUCCAUCUUUAUGUGUGUGUCUCUUCUCUGUCGUUUUUCUAUUCCGCCUCCUCGCCCAUGUCUCAUUCCUGCAUCUAUUCCGCACGUCAUGCCCCGCCAGCAUAGGAUGAGCGGUAUGCCAGACAGAUGCCAUGGGCUCGCCCCUCUCCACCUUCAUGUCGAGAGGAAAACGAAAGAAAGCGCUGCCGGCCACGGCGCACGGGAGGGAAGGGGAGAGAAGGCUGCGCUCUCCUUUCGCAUUCUUUUUGGUGGGUCCUCCCCGCUUUAACGGUGCGCCGCGUGUGUGGCGACUCUUCACAUCUACCCACAUCCUCUCUCUCUUUUUCUCAAAAAAAAAAAACACACACACACACACCUGCACUCCCUACCUCCUGCGGAUUCUGGUUGCUCGCUUUUCUCUUGUCGUUUUAG